AACGGGUGAGUAAACACGUGGCGUGACUGCCCUGCACUUCGGGGAUAAGCCUGGGAACUGGGUCUAAUACCGGAAUAGGACCGCACCGUGAGGGUGUGGUGGAAAGUUUUUCGGUGUGGGAUGGGCCCCGGCCUAUCAGCUUGUUGGUGGGGUAAUGGCCUACCAAGGCGGCGACGGGUAGCCGGCCUGAGAGGGUGGACGGCCACAUUGGGACUGAGACACGGCCCAGACUCCUACGGGAGGCAGCAGUGGGGAAUAUUGCACAAUGGGCGGAAGCCUGAUGCAGCGACGCCGCGUGGGGGAUGACGGCCUUCGGGUUGUAAACUCCUUUCACCAUCGACGAAGGGUUUCUGACGGUAGAUGGAGAAGAAGCACCGGCUAACUACGUGCCAGCAGCCGCGGUAAUACGUAGGGUGCGAGCGUUGUCCGGAAUUACUGGGCGUAAAGAGCUCGUAGGUGGUUUGUCGCGUCGUCUGUGAAAUUCCGGGGCUUAACUCCGGGCGUGCAGGCGAUACGGGCAUAACUUGAGUACUGUAGGGGAGACUGGAAUUCCUGGUGUAGCGAUGAAAUGCGCAGAUAUCAGGAGGAACACCGGUGGCGAAGGCGGGUCUCUGGGCAGUAACUGACGCUGAGGAGCGAAAGCAUGGGGAGCGAACAGGAUUAGAUACCCUGGUAGUCCAUGCCGUAAACGGUGGGCGCUAGGUGUGGGUUUCCUUCCACGGGAUCCGUGCCGUAGCUAACGCAUUAAGCGCCCCGCCUGGGGAGUACGCCGCAAGG
Molecule: ribosomal RNA, 777 nt
Filed under: uncultured Actinomycetes bacterium
Lineage: Bacteria; Bacillati; Actinomycetota; Actinomycetes
Description: bacterial SSU rRNA
Rfam family: Bacterial small subunit ribosomal RNA
Source: RNAcentral